RNAcentral lists this ribosomal RNA (467 nucleotides) under uncultured bacterium. Its description in RNAcentral is "partial 16S ribosomal RNA". It matches the Rfam family "Bacterial small subunit ribosomal RNA", at positions 28 to 506 of the family's 1533-position model. The record is from RNAcentral.
GACGAACGCUGGCGGCGUGCUUAACACAUGCAAGUCGAACGGAAAGGCCCUGCUUUUGUGGGGUGCUCGAGUGGCGAACGGGUGAGUAACACGUGAGUAACCUGCCCUUGACUUUGGGAUAACUUCAGGAAACUGGGGCUAAUACCGGAUAGGAGCUCCUGCUGCAUGGUGGGGGUUGGAAAGUUUCGGCGGUUGGGGAUGGACUCGCGGCUUAUCAGCUUGUUGGUGGGGUAGUGGCUUACCAAGGCUUUGACGGGUAGCCGGCCUGGGGGGGGGACCGGCACAAGUGGGAUGGGGAAAGGGCCCGGACGCCACGGGGGGGAAGGGGGGGGGAAUUGUGGAAAAGGGGCGGAGGGAGGGAGGAAGAUCCCCGGGUGGGGAAAGUCGGCUUUGGGGGUGUAACCCGUUUUUGCCUGGGAGUGAGCGGGGGGGAGGUAAAUGGGUAAAAAGGCACGGGCUAACUCGGG